RNAcentral lists this ribosomal RNA (350 nucleotides) under uncultured bacterium. RNAcentral describes it as "bacterial SSU rRNA". It matches the Rfam family "Bacterial small subunit ribosomal RNA", at positions 335 to 676 of the family's 1533-position model. The record is from RNAcentral.
ACUCCUACGGGAGGCAGCAGUAGGGAAUUUUCGCAAUGGAGGAAACUCUGACGGAGCAAUACCGCGUGUGGGAAGAAGAUUUUCGGAUUAGUAAACCACUGUUAGUAAGGGAAGAACGUUAUUAGUAGGAAAUGGCUAAUAAGUGACGGUACCUUACCAGAAAGGGACGGCUAACUACGUGCCAGCAGCCGCGGUAAUACGUAGGUCCCGAGCGUUAUCCGGAAUUAUUGGGCGUAAAGGGCACGUAGGCGGACAAAUAAGUUUGAUGUCAAAUAUGAUGGCUCAACCAUCAAGAGGCGUUGAAAACUGUUUAUCUAGAAUCUCGGAGAGGUAAGUGGAAUUCCAUGUGU